UCCGGGGUGGUGUAAUUGGUAACACAGAUGGCUCUGGACCAUCUGUUCCUGGUUCGAGUCCAGGCCCCGGAG
RNAcentral lists this transfer RNA (72 nucleotides) under Pseudomonadota bacterium. Its description in RNAcentral is "tRNA-Gln". It matches the Rfam family "tRNA". Rfam says of the family: Transfer RNA (tRNA) molecules are approximately 80 nucleotides in length. Their secondary structure includes four short double-helical elements and three loops (D, anti-codon, and T loops). The record is from RNAcentral. Lineage: Bacteria; Pseudomonadati; Pseudomonadota. RNAcentral also lists the same sequence under 2 other names.